CUUGAGCACGUAGGUGGUUUGUAAAGUCAGAUGUGAAAGCCUUCUGUUCAACGGAAGAAUUGCAUCUGAAACUACAAGUCUUGAGUGUAGGAGGGGAGAAUGGAACUUCUGGUGGAGCGGUGAAAUCCGUAGAUAUCAGAAGGAACGCCGGCGGCGAAAGCGAUUCUCUGGCCUAUUACUGACACUCAGUGUGCGAAAGCUAGGGGAGCAAACGGGAUUAGAUACCCCGGUAGUCCUAGCCGUAAACGAUGGGCACUAAGUAGAGGGGAUUACCGACGUUCUCUCUGCCGUAGCUAACGCAUUAAGUGCCCCGCCUGGGGAGUACGGCCGCAAGGCUAAAACUCAAAAGAAUUGACGGGGGCUCGCACAAGCGGUGGAGCAUGUGGCUUAAUUCGAUGCAACGCGAAGAACCUUACCGGGGCUUGACAUGGUAGAAGUAGGAACCCGAAAGGGUAACGAACGGUAUCCAGUCCGUGACUAUCACAGGUGUUGCAUGGCUGUCGUCAGCUCGUGUCGUGAGACGUUGGGUUAAGUCCCCUAACGAGCGAAACCCUUGUUUUUAGUUACCAGCGGGUUAUGCCGGGUACUCUAGAAAGACUGCCGUCGUCAAGACGGAGGAAGGUGGGGAUGACGUCAAGUCAUCAUGGCCCUUAUGCCCCGGGCUGCACACGUGCUACAAUGGGCGGUACAAACGGAAGCGAAGCCGAGAGGUGAAGCGAAUCCAAGC
RNAcentral lists this ribosomal RNA (727 nucleotides) under uncultured Planctomycetota bacterium. RNAcentral describes it as "bacterial SSU rRNA". It matches the Rfam family "Bacterial small subunit ribosomal RNA", at positions 562 to 1278 of the family's 1533-position model. Lineage: Bacteria; Pseudomonadati; Planctomycetota. The record is from RNAcentral.